RNAcentral lists this long non-coding RNA (35749 nucleotides) under Capsicum annuum. RNAcentral describes it as "long non-coding RNA (CANN_LNC000752)". Lineage: Eukaryota; Viridiplantae; Streptophyta; Magnoliopsida; Solanales; Solanaceae. The record is from RNAcentral.
UCAAAUGGUGGUGACCAUCAUAUACAUGAUGGCACACAUAACUGAGCUCGAAACACUAAAUGGCUUCUUCGAUCAGGGUUUCCUUUUCUCGUCAAGCAGAUAAGAUUUUCUUUGCAGAUUUAUACAGAAAUACAAUAUAUCAAGCCCUUCUGUACAAUUAGGACCUAAGCAUGUUGAACAAUCAAAGGACACAAGGAAAACUGAUAAGUUAUCAUUAAAUUCAUGCAACCAUAACUGUAGUUUCUGACAUGGACAACUGUAGUUUUUAUUCCCAGCAAGGAAAAACAAACCGUGACAUGACCAAAAUACAACCAAGUAUAUGCACACAAGCAAAAACAUUCUACCUCUCUCUCAUUGGUACACAUGGACAAUUCCAAAAACCCUGCUGCGCUUCUGCAGCUUGUCAUCAUAAUGCCUGAAAAUUUAAAAUGACAUCAACAUUGUACAAUUUGUGCUAAUAACAUUACAAAGGUUCCGUGGUAACUGGUAAGGUGCAAAUCAUGAAACGCAUCUAAACAUAUGUGUUAGGAACGGAUAUAUACUUGCAGGGGUAGAGUGGUGGCCCCAAUGUAUCGUUGUGCUCUGCCAAUCCCUAAGCAUAGGUAAACGAAUACCAUUAAUUAAAUUCCAUCCUCAUUGUAGUAAUAGAUGUUUCAAUAAUAGGAAUAUGGAAACCACUGUAAGUAGGGAUUAAAACAUCAUCACAACAGCAGUACUAAACUAUAAAUCAACUAUGCUCCACCAAAGUGAAUGUUUUACUUAUGCACAUAUAAUAGUCAAACGUCAUAUGCUUCUUGAUUGGAUUUCCAGUGAAACAUCUUAUUAAGUAGUGAAAGUAAAGGAGUUCCCUAACUUAGAAAAACAGUGACCCGAAAAAUUGUACGGGUCGCUCUAGCAAAACUACAUUUCAAGGAUAAGGAUAUUUCAAUCAGUCAUAGAGUAUUCUCCGAAUCUAGACGUCCACGGGGUCAUCCGAAUCCCCUUCGUCGAAAAAUUAUACUAUUUUUACAUAGUAAAAUUUUUUUAUAUAUAUAAAUAAUAGAGGUUGACCCUUCUUCGACUAGUCCAUAUAAGUACUACUAAACCCCCUCACUGAAAAUUCUGGAUCCGCCCCUGCCUAUAAUUGACUAAUCCUUCCGUUAAUAUUAGGUGAUGCGCAGUUUCCUUUUUUAUUUGUCCCAAAAAUGAUACCUUUCACUUUUUGGAAACUAUUUAGUCUAAGCAUCCCCAUUUUACUUUUGGGGUCGUUUGGCAGAAUAUAUAAGAAUAAUGUUAAAUAAAGCGUAUUAGUAAUAUUUGUAUUAUUAAUGUAACUAUUGGUAAUGCUGAUAUUAGUUGCACAUAUAUUAUUUUUUACACAGUGUUGUGUUUGGUUUGAUGUAUUAAAAUACUAUAUAUUUAUAUAAUUUUUAUAAAAGGAUGUUUUUACUAAAUUGUCCUUUCUUCUACCUUCUCUUGUACCAUCUAUUUUCAAGGCGUUCAAGCAACAAAGUUCGAACAACUCCCUAUGCAACAUAGUUUUCUGCAGAAUUUAUGGAAUCCAUGUGAUUAGCAUUCUCUCUGUGGCCUAUGGAUGAAUUAUUUCCCUAGUUAAGUCUGGAUUGUCCAUCAGCAGGAUGGACAUUUCCUUCGAACUUCCCUUUCGCACCAACUGAAGAUGUAUCUCUUUUGGAUUUUUGCUUCAUUUGAACCCCGUCUACAGGAGAUAAAAUGCCUACAGGCUUCCCAUUUGGUACCGAAUUCAUUGCAGAAAAUAAAGAGAAUUUCUUCUCGGAUGAGCCCUUCUUGUUAUUUUUUAUCCAAGUUCAUCAAACAACAUCCUCUUUUCCAUGGCAGAGUAUAAAAAUAGAGAGAGCAAUUUUUUAAUAUGGUGGAAAAUGAAAGGGAUAAGAAAUAUGAUAUGGUGGGAAAAGAAGGCUGAAAAAUAAUUUAAGAGGUAGUAAUGUCAUUUAAUAAAUCAAUACAUGUGUUGAAAGUCUUGCAUUAUUAAUACAUGAAAAAUAGUGUGUAUUACUUAAUAUAUACCUCAAUACACAAUAGAAUAUAUAAUUAGUGCAAGUAUUAGUUAUGCAUAGUAAAAAUAUAAUAUCAAACAAGAUACUACUAAUACACAAAAAUUAAUGCAUGCAUUAUAUUUUUAAUACACUCUAUCAAACGAUCUCUUAUUGAUAUGAAAUUUUGGAACCUCGCCGCCACUAAUUUAAAAGGAAAAGAUAGGCGGUAACUCUAACCAUCACUCAUUUAAAAGGAAAAGGAUACUUUUGAUACUUUGCUUGUAUUUGACUUCCAUGUCAUGAGUCUUCUUUAACUAUGUGACUAGUCAAAUUUCGUCACAAAAUCAAAUGGAGUUCUUGUUUUGCCCUUUUUUUCUAUUGGAAGGGUUGAAAAAAUAGUUGGUUUCGACUUUUUAAACUAUUUCAAAAUUUUCAAAAAAAAAUUCAAAAUAAUUUAAAAAAUUACAGAGUCGCCACUUAAUUUUUGAAAAAAUAUCAAGAAAAAAUAAAAAUAUUACUUAGAAGAUUCAAAAUAGAAAAAAUCUUUUAAAUUUAAAAAUUAUGAGUAAGUGGUUCCUAUUAAUACUCUUGUAAGGUUAUUAAGGCACCAAGAGUAUCCGCUAACUUAAGAUUAUUCGGACUAUUUGAAAAUAACUCUUUUGACUAACUUUAAAAAGGAAAAUUGGUUUUUGAAAAGAAAACGAUUAAGGAAAAAAUUGUCUUCAAGAUUUGUGCAAAACAAAUUUAGCGACUUAGCGGGAAGUUUUAACUAAGUCUAAAAAAACUAAGAACAAUUAGCAUAUAAAGGAAAAAAUGGGAGACUAAGAGUGUGUUUGGUACGAAGGAAAAUGUUUUCCAUGGAAAAUGUUUUCCUAGAAAAUGUUUUCUUGGAAAAUAAGUUGAUUUCUUACUUGUUUUCCUAUGUUUGGUUGGUGAAUGGAAAAUAUUUUUUGAAUUUUUUUUUAUAGUGUUUGUUUAGUGAAUGAAAAAAUAUUUUUCAAAAAAUACAUUUUAGUAUUUAGCUAAAGUGUAAAAAUACAUUUUAAAAAAAUAAUUUUUGAUCUAAAAAAAUUUUUUUUUAGGGUGUGUUCGAUAUGAAGGAGGAAAAAUAUUUUCUAGAAAAAUAAGUUAUUUGUAACUUAUAUUUGUGUGUUCGUUAUGCAAAUUGGAUAAGUAUAUUUUUUUUAAAAGUAUUUGUAUAUAUUUAACUAAAAAAAUAAGAAUGAAUAUGAUAAAAAGGGUGGGAUAAGAAAAAGUUUUGAAUUUUUUUAAGAAAUAAAUUAAAAACAUUUUAUUCUUUUUUGAAGAGGGGUUUGGUAGGUGGGGGUGGGGUUGUCAAAAUAGACAGUAAGGGCGGUUAAGAGAGUAAUUUGAUUUUUUAGAAAACAAUUUUUUUUUGGUUGGAGAGNNNNNNNNNNNNNNNNNNNNNNNNNNNNNNNNNNNNNNNNNNNNNNNNNNNNNGGGGAGGAAGUUGGUUGGGUGGUCAGGUAGGGGAGGUAAGAAAAGUUUGAAUUUAAAAAAAAAAUUGAAAAGGGGAAGGGAGUAGGAUUUUAGGUAGGGGGGAGGUGAGAAAAAAAUUUAAAAUAUUUUUUUAAAUAGGGUGGUAGGGGGCGGGGGCGGGGGUGAGGGAUUGAGGGUCGGAGUAUGGAUGAGUGAUUUUGAGAGUUGUGUGAAUAUUUCAACUUACGAGUGAGGUAGAAAGAGAGUUUUGAAAAAUGUUUUCCUUACUUUUUGAAGGAAAGUCCUUUUCCUUAGAUUUAAAGAAUAUAAGUUGAUUUGGAAAAUAUUUGCCAAAAUCUAUAAGCCAACCAAACAUGAGAAAAUUGGAAAACACUUUUCAGAAAAUGUUUUCCUUCGUACAAAUACACCCUAAAUGACUUAAGCCAUUAGGCCCAAAUCCAUAAAUCAUGUCCUCAGCUAAUUUGGGUUUUGGCCCAUAACCUAUUCUAAGCUAGUUUUCGAACCUUUGAGGCCCAAAAUUCGCUUCAAUUGUAUUAAAUUACAAUUUUAGCUUCGAGACCCAAAUUAAUGAAUAAAUAAAAAUAAAGCAAUAAUAAAAAUCAAGACUUUUCAAGUCUCUUAGUAACCUCAUCAAUGGGUUUUCACCCAUUUUCCUUCUUCUUUCAUCUUCUUGCACCCACACGCCAUAUAAUCGACUUUGAAUUUAAAACUUUGGACUUGACUUGGAGAGAUGGGCCUCAUUGGCCCAUUACGAAAUGCAAGAGGAAAGGAGUCUAUUUGAACUCCAAAAUAGACUCAUGCAAAGGAAAAGAUAAAAGAUAAAAGAAAAAGAGUUAAUAUGUGUUCGAGAAUUCUACACUUAUAGAUAAAUGAUGAGAUGGAAAAAAAUAGCAUUCUCAAGAAUAAAGAAAUAGUAAGUUGUGAUAUCAAAGCAAGCCAAAUCAUCCAACGAAUAGAAAAUCAACCUAUCUCCUAAAAAAUCUUACAAAAAAUUGAAUCUAGCAAAAUAUAAUUAACUAGCCCUUGAAAAGAAGACAUGAAUCUACAAGUAUAGUUGCUUAAAAUUUGGACGACUAGAUUAACACAUAUUUGCUCCAAAUACUAUGAUAUGAUAAAGUCUAAGACAUGUUUUUAUCAAGCAAAGAAAAGAAAAAUGAGCAAGAGAUGAGGAGAUCUUUCAUAGCACCUCAAAUAUGAAAUACAAGAAAUACUAAUGCAACAACACUUUUUAAUACAAAGUGAAUCAAUCACAUAUCUAUAACUUAGAAGAAAAAAAUCACUAUAGCAUGUGAAUAAAAAUGGGACGUCUAAAUGAAUAAAAUUGCUUUAAAAAGUAAACCAAUAAGCGAAGUGAAACAAAUAGCGUAUAUUAAGCAUACUUGAGAAAUGAUAUUUGAAGACAAGAUAGAAGAAAUAGUAAAAGAUUAAUUCUAAGAAAAAAAAGUCUAAUUAUGUCAACUCCUAUUUUAGUUCUACACCAAUUCAACAAAACCUACAGCCCUAACAAUGUCUAUCGGAAACAGCCUCUCUACCUCAUCGGAGGUAGUGGUAUGGAUUGCGUACAUCUUACCCUCCCCAGACCCCAUUAUGUGGGAAUACACUAGGUUUGUUGUUGUUGUUGUUGUUGCUACAACCCUAACAACUUUUCAAUCUAAACAAGAGAAAAUCAAAGACAAUUUUGACCAUGAAAAUGAGUAACUCACUAUUUCAAAUUGAGAAACAAUUUCACAGACCCUUAACAAAAGUAACCAUUCCUUUUCGACAUAAAGGAAACAACUUUACAUACUAAAGGCAAACACAUCCACCAAUAAUGAAUUUAAUCAAAGCAUGGGCAUGCAUCUUAAGCAAAGAUCAAAACUUUACCAAUAAUAAACAAAGAAUAAAGCCAAAAGGCGAAACAAUCAAUAUUAACUAUUCUUUUUAACAUAAAGGAAAUAACUUUACAUGCUAAAAAAAAAAACAUAUCCGCCAACAAUAAAUUUAAACAAAGCAUGAAUACAGAUUUUAAGCAAAGAUCAAAACUUUAUCUAUAAUAAUUAAAGAAUAAAGCCAAAAGGGAAACAAUCAAUAUUGACUAUUCUUUUCAAACAUAAGGGAAACAACUUUACAUGCUUAACAAAUAAAUACACCAACAAUGAAUUUAAACAAAGCAUGAGUACAUAUUUUAAACAAAGAUCAAAACUUUAUCUCUAAUAAUAAAACAAUAAAGCCAAAAAAAAUAAUAUGUUCAACUAUUGCUAGCUCAUUUUUUAUACCAUAGAUAUGAAAAUAGUCAUAAUAUCGAUACCAUAACGUCAUAUGGCCUUCAAGUCCAUCUACAACAAACAAUCUCAGCAAACAAAAUUACAACUACGAACUACGAAGAAGAAAAAAUGAACAAGACAACAAUAAUAAAACUAAAAAGGGGAAACGAUGUGUUUACCUUUUUGGGCAGCAAAAUAGAACUACAAGAUUUCUUCGGAGACUUGAUCACCACGGGAAGGCGUUCAACUCGAGAACAUUGAUUAGCUCAUGAAUUUCACGGAAAAGGACAUUUUUACUAAAAAAAAAAACUCUUCUUUGCACAAAGUUUUUUUUUCAACCUUGAGAAUUUUUUGACUUUGAGACUUCCUUUUACUAAAAUAAUGGUAGUAUUUAUAGAAAAGGAUGUGGAUCCAAUUUUAUUAAUCAUCAAUAUGGGAGAAAGAAUUUAGGGGUGUUUUUAGAAUUUUCAAAAUUGAAGAUAAGGUGAGGUGGAAGAUAAGAUGGGAAAAAUUGUACAAUGUAGUACAAUUUUUGAAUUUCAAAAUUGAAAAAACGGCAAGGUUAGGGGGAUUGUACAAUGUAGUACUAUUUUUGAAUUUUAAAAUUGGGAAAAGGACAAGGUUGAGGGAAAAUUGUAUAAUGUAGCACUGUUUUUGAAUUUUAAAAUUGAAAAAAAGACAAAGUUGAGGGAAAAUUGUACAAUGUAUUACAAUUUUUGAAUUUCAAAAUUUUAAUUUCAGGAUUUGAAUUUGAUUUUGGUGGGAAUUGAAUAGAAAUUAUGAGAGAUUUUGGGAAUUUAGGGCUAUUUAAAAUAUAACCCCAAUUAGGAUUUAAAAUUUAGCCAUAUAUAUUUAAUUUUGACUAAAUUGAAAAUCAAUUGGCCGAUUGCAUUGCAAUUAUGGCCAAUUUAAUUUUAAUUAUGGUCAAAUAUAAUAGAUUGGCUAAAUUGAAUUAAAAAAUCAAUACGAAUUAAAACUUAUUUUAAUUCUGAGCUUCUUGAUUUAAUAAAAUCAAAUAAAUAUUUCUCCAAAUAAAUUAAUUUUGAGAAUAAAUUUUAUUUGAAUCAAGACUUUAUCCGUUUGGAUUAAUACUCAAGCUUAAUCAGUAAAAGUUCAAUUUUGAUCAAAGUGUUCAUUUAAGUAAUAAAAUUUAUGUAAUUUCGUAUAUGUAAAUACGAAAACGUAUAAUCGUUAAUUAAAUGACAAAAUUAGCCCAAAUAAAUAUUUUAGAGCGCAUUUAUCUAAAUGAAAUAAAUAUUUUAAUUUAAUUAAAAAUUGAAGAAAUUUAGGAUUAAAUUUAGUCGUGGAGAGCAAAAAUUGGGUGUCAGCAACUGCCCACUCCCUUUGGGUAAGGUGGAUGCAAGUAACUCUGGGCAAAAGGAGUUUGACAUUUCUAAUUUUUGUUCGAUCACAAAUUCAUUUAUGAAAGAGAUUGGUUUUCACACGAGUUUCAUGGAGUUAUGUCCGGACCUCGGUAACUAGUUUCCAACAUAUCUCAGGUCACAUGAGAAUUCAGUCUAUUUGUAGUUCAUAAAGCUUGACUUAAAGCACGAUUUUCUAAGAAAUCACAAGCUAUCUCGAUUUAGAAUUUUAGUGAAAUUAGAAAACUGGGGAGUAAGUAGAUUUGGAGAGGGGUUGAAAUGCAGUCGAGUUUUCAACAAAGAGCCCAGUUUACAUAUCCUCGAGACUCAGGGAAUCAGACUGCUUGUAGUUCGACUCGAUCAAUAGAAAAGAUAGCCUUUUAUUUUAGACAAUCUUUGGCUCGAAAUGAGUGACAAGUUGUUCAAGCUAUGAAAAAGAGGCUUGCAACAUCUUAACCGUGAAUGUGGGAUCAUUCAUAUCAAUCGACAAAAAUUUACUCGGACAUAAUUUUCACAGCUCUAGGUGUCCUAUCACUCGAUUUAUGGAAAGAGAAGGUUAUCCUUGAUAUGAGUGUAGAAAUAUCUCAAAGGUAAAUCUAAAACCAGAAUAUCCCAAGGUACCCACAUGCCUUCUAAUAGGGUGUGGUUUAAGGGUGGUGUCAAUCAUCCUUUAGCUCGCGUCUAAAGAUUUUGACGUCCCUCUCUAGACUAAGUCCCAUUUUGCUGCGGCAAAAAAGUUUUACGUUGUGUUGUAUCCUUUUUGGAGUCGUCCACACCUGUGGCUUUGAUUUGAGAAUUUCAUCCUUUUGGAUGCUCUCGAUAACAACUCAAAAAAAAUAAUUAGUUGUAAAUAUAGCAUUACACAAAUAUAAAUUAGCACAAAUUUAUUUGAACAUGCUAUGCUGAGAUAGUUGAUGAACCAAGUUGCACAACCUGUUCUAAGAAUAUUGUGCCACUUUGAACAAAGUGAUGUCCCAACGUGUCACAUUGAAGGGCGUACAACUCAAUUUAACUAUAACAUGCCACUUUGAACGGAGUGACGGUCUAACGUAUCUCAUUGAAGGGCGGACGACCCAAUUUAAAUGCAACAUGCCACUUUGAAUGGAGUGAUGGUCCAACGUGUCUCAUAGAAAGGCGGACGACCCAAUUUAAAUGCAACAUGCCAUUUUGAACAGAGUGACGGUCCAAUGUUUCUCAUUGAAGGAUAGGCGACCCAAUUUAAAUGCAACAUGCCACUUUGAACUGAGUGACGUUCCAACAUGUCUCAUUAAAGGGUGGACGCCCAAUUUAAAUAUAAUAUGUCACUUUGAAUGGAGUGACGGUCCAAUGUGUCUCAUUGAAGGGGGGACGACCCAAUUUAAAUAUAACAUGCCACUUUGAACAGAGUGACGGUCCAACCUGUCUAUUAGUUACUUGCACUACACUUAUUAGUAUCAAAUGCAAUAUGAGGGCAAUCGUGCAUGCCUUGCUUUAGUCUGCCACACUAAGGGAGGUGAAAAUUCAUAAUGUAGUAACAUAAUAUGUUGAAGGGGAUUUCAAUACAUAUAAUAACGUGUCACUCUAAAGAAAGUGACAGUCUAAUAACAUAAUAAUAUGUCACUUUGAAGGAUGUGACGACCCAUAACACGAUAACAUGUCACUCGGGGGGGUGGGUUCAUAACAUAAUAAUAUGUCAAUUUGAAGGAGGUAGAUUUCCCUAACAUGAUAACAUGUCAUGCUGAAGGAGGUGACAGUUAGGGGUGUUCAUGGUUUGGUUAAAAACCAAAUCGAACCGCGAACCAAACCAAAUCGAUUAAAACAAAUUGAUAUUUGAUUAGGUUUGGUUUGGUUUGGUUUGGUUUGGUUUUAAAUUUUUAAAAUCGAUACUUAUGUGUUUUUGGUUUUGGUUUUCUCUAAAAUAACCGACAAAAUAACCAAACCGAACCAAUAAAAAUAAUAUAUAUAUAUAUAUAUAUAUAUGUAUACACACACAUACAUAUACAUAUAUAAAUUAUUUAAAUAUUAUUCAUAAAUGAAAUAUAAAUAUUUUUUAUAUUUUAAAUUCUAAUCAUGAAUUUAACUUUAGUCAUGUCUUCAUCUAGUUGAUGGUACGUUAUGAGAUUUUAUAUGAUUUUCGCACUUUGAAUGACAAAUGAUACUAAUUGUGAAAAUUACCUUGUUGUCUAUGGGAUUUUAUAGGUGAGUUUUAUUAGACCAUAGAUAAUCACUAGUUUUGAACUUUCUUUUUGGUCCCUAUUGAGCAAAAAAUUCAUGUGUUUACCUUUUGGGGGUUUAUCAUAUCAUUCUCUUAUAUAAAGUUUCUAAAUACUUUUGUCGAAGAGUUCACACGAUGUUGUUCAUGGUUUUGCCUAAGUAUAACACUAAAUUGACAUCUUGGUUUUAAGGUUGAGGAACAACACUCGAUUGACAUUUCAUAUGUUGUAUUGGAUUUUUUUAAGAAAAAUUUCAACUUUUAUCAUUAACUAAAGUUAUAAACCGAAAAAACAAAUCGAACUGAACUAAACCAACAAGAACCAAACCAACGGUUAUUUUUUUGUGUUGGUUUGGUUUGGUUUUAGAAAUUUAAAAAUCGACUAAGUUGGUUUGGUUAUGGUUUUGACCAAUAACCAACCCAUGAACACCCCUAGUGACAGUCCAUACAAUAACGUAUCACUCUGAAGAAGGUGACGGUCCAUAACAUAAUAAUAUAUUACUCUAAAGGAGGUGAUUGUCCAUAACAUAAUAAUAGAUCACUCUAAAGUAGGUGACUCCAUAACAUAAAUAAUAUGUCAUACUGAAGGAGGCGACGGUUCAUAACAUAGUAAUUUGUUACUCUAAGAAAGGUGAUAAUCCAUAACAUAAUAACAUGCCAUACUUAAGGAGGUGACGGUCCAUAACAUAAUAACAAGUCACUCUAAAGAAGGUGAUGAUUCAAACAUAAUAACAUAUCACACUGAAGGAGAUGACGAUCCAUAAUAUGAUAACAUGUCACUCUGAAGGAGGUGAUAAUCUAAACAUAAUAACAUGUCACGUUGAAGGAAGUGAUAAUCCAUAACAAAAUAACAUGUCACUCUGAGGAAAGUGACGAUCCAAAACAUAAUAACAUGUCACUCAGAAGGAGGUGACGAUCCAUAAUAUAGUAACAUGUUGUCUCAAAUAAAGAGAUGAGCUGAUGCACUCUCUUAAAGGAUAAAAAAUUCAAAUAUAAUAAGAUGUGUCCUUUCAAAAGGGGGAUGUACCAAAUAUAAUAAGAUGUGUCACCUAGAAUAAAGUGAUGAUUGGGUAUGUCCUCUUGAAAUGAUGGAUGACACAAAUAUAAUAAGAUACAUCACAUCAAAUGGGGUGACAAUCCGAGGCGGUCUUGCAUAAAGUCACUCAUGAUGAUUUGGAUAUAAUAUUUUGAAUGAUAUCCCCAUAUCUUAAUCGUUAUGCCCAAUCAUUUUCCUACAAAAUUAAAGGAAGUGUUAGAGAUCAUAACGAAGUAAAAGAAAUGUAAAUCAUGAGAAAAUAAGAGAAGAUAAGUUGUUUGGAUUAUUUUGAAUGGUGGAUUGGUAAUGCUCUUUGUCAUACUUAACGUUAUCAACAUUGUGACUUCACCGUUCCUGCAUCCAAAGAAAAUUUUUUAUUUUUGAGAGACUGACUGUGUUGGUUUUUACUUGUUCCCCUGGUGCUCCUUGUUGAUCAUGGAUUUGCAAGCUUGAAGUGCAGUCUCUGUGAAUUUUUUUGAGGAUCUUCGUCAAAAAUUCUGCCCCAGUUUAUAAAAUAGAAACUCUCGAAUUUCCUUGUAACUUAUGAUAGUAUGAAAUUUUUUGAGAUUUCCUCAAAAUUCUUCCCUGAUCUCAAGUUCUUUCGGAUGUAAUGUAGCUUGAAAUUUAAGAGCUUCUAAAAAAAUAUGUCCCGAUCUCAGCUUUAGCAAUGUCUGGUGUCUAACUUUGUAGAAAAUGUCAAGUUCUUGUGAAAUUUUUUAGAUAUACUCAAAAAUUUCUACCCCAGUUACAUUCUUCAUCGUCAUCUCCAUGUAACUUGUAAGAAGAUCCUCUUAAAGAAUUUUUGAGAUCCUCUCACAAAUUUGCCCCAGUUUGUAUGAAAGACCUAUGGGGAAUAUGAUUGAGUCAAUGUGCUGCUCACGUAUUCCAUUGAGGUAGGCAUCAUACCAAACGUAGUUCCACCAUAAGAUGAAAAAAUUUUUUUUUGAAGGAAUUGACCAAAGCCGAUAUAGGCCGUCUACGUAUUCCAUUCUUGGAAAUUCAGGUCAAACGUAGUUUAUAUAAAAUAAAAAGAGAGAUUUAAUAUUUUUGAUAAUGUGACCUAAGCCAGCACAGGCGGCCUACAUAUUCCACUAAGAAAAUCAGGUCGAACGUAGUUCAUUACAACUAGAAAGUACGAUUACAAGAAAAUAACAAAGUGAAAUUACAAGGAAAUCAAACCAUAAAGUACGAUUAUAAGGAAAUCAAAAACAAUAAAGUAUGAUUACUAGAAAGUAAGACAAUAACUUAAGAUAGACGAACGCCAAAAGUGGGCCUUGGAUGAAACUUCAUUCUUCUUCGUGACUAAUAACAUCAAUGAUUAUUUUGCAUUUAGUCUUUGUGAAGCAAACAAGUUUGAUUACCAAUACAAAUCAGCCUCUCUCUAAAAGAAAAGAAAAAACACUCAAAAAGUAAAAUGUUAGUUCAUAAAUUGUAAUAAUUGACCAAAGUAAUGAGACAAAUCAAACAAACAUAGUCAAAGCAAAAUAAUGAAGCACUUUAGCACAUAAAUAAUUUUUAACGCGUCCUAACAUAUUUGGGACCUUUUAAGCCAAAGGUAAGCCUAACGUUUGAAAGUUAUAUAUAUACCGUUUGUAAGACAUUCCAUUGCCCCCAAAAUAUUAUAAAAUCUUCAUUAAUAAAUUAAACGAGGGAUACAAAAUGAGAAAAAGGGAAAUACAUGAUAUCCAUCCCGCGUAGGGGAGCAAAUCUAAACUAAGCCUCCUUGGAAGCCUAUCAAUCUUUGAACUUCUUAAAACGUUUGAAUAUCCUUCCUAUAAAGACCUUCUUUUGAUUAAACAAAACUAUCUAAAUAAAAUCCUCAUACCUAGGGGAUAAUGUUUCUUACAAUUCGACAUUAUAUCCUUUAAUUUAACACAUAAAGAAUGAUCGUCUAUUAUGACUCGUGAUCAAAUAGACGUAAGGUAGGUUUUCUAAUGGUCCCAAUUCCUCCUCAGGUGAUGGGUCGUUCUAGGCUCAUGCCCUAACAAGAUUUUGGUUUAGCUCUAUCCUGGGUGUCUAGAAUGGGUUUAGACACAGGUUUUCAAGUGAACAACUUGGGUUUGAAAAUACGAACAGCCUCCAACCACCUAACGUGUCGGUAAACUGUCGUAUUCCAAACACUUGAUUUGGAGUUGAUCAACAGGGUCGAAACAUCCACAAAAUCCCAAAAUAGUUUAAUAAUCAUCAUGCGGGAUUAUGUCAUGAAAUGCAAUAGUUAAAUUUCGCAGAAUUUAAAUAUAUAAGCACAUAAACAAUUUAAUAAUUAGUCAAAGAAGCUAAUUCAAAUAUUUGGUUAGAGUCUAGUUAAAGUUUCCCAACAGAGUCACCAUUUCUGUUUUGCCCUUUUUUCUAUUCGAAGGAUUGAAAAAUAUUUGGUUUUGACUUUUUAAACUAUUUCAAAACUUUAAAGAAAAUUUGAAAUAAUUUAAGAAAUUACAAAGUCGCCACUUGAUUUUUAAGAAAAUAUCAAGAAAAACUAAAAAUAUUACUUAAAAAAUUCAAAACAGAAAAAAUCUUUUAAGUUUAGAAAUUCUGAGUAAGUGAUUCCUAUUAAUACUCUUGAAGGUUGUUAAGGUACCAAGAGUAUCCGUUAACUUACGGUUAUCCGAAUUAUUUGAAAAUAACUUUUUUGACUAACUUUAAAAGGAAAAUUAUUUUUUUUAAUAAACGAUUAAGGAAAAAAUUAUCUUCAAGAUUUGUGCAAAACAAAUUUAACGACUUAGCAGAUAUUUUUAACUAAGUCUAAGAAAACUAAGAACAAUUAGAAUAUAAAAGGGAAAGGAGAGACUAAAUGACUUAAGUCAUUAGACCCAAAUCCAUAAAUCUUGUCCUAAGCUAAUUUGGGUUUUUUGCCUAUUUUCACUUGUCCUAAUCUAAACCUUGGGCUUUAGGCCUAUAACCUGUUCUAAGCUAGUUUCUGGACCUUUGAGGCCCAAAAUUUGUUUCACCUGUAUUAAAUUACAAAUUUCGUUUCGAGGCCCAAAUGAAUGAAUAAAUAAAUGACUAAAUGAAUAAAUAAAAAUCAAGACUUUUUAAGUCUCUUAGUAACCUCGUCAAUGGAUUUUCACUCAUUUUCCUUCUUCUUUCAUCUUCUUGCACCCGCACGCCAUAUAAUCGAUUUUGGAUUUAAACCUUCGGACUUGACUCAGAGAGAUGGGCCUCAUUGGCCCAUUAUGAAAUGCAAGAGGAAAAAAGUCCAUUUGGACUCCAAAACAGAUUCAUGCAAAGGAAAAGAUAAAAGAAAAAGAAUUAAUAUGUGUUUGGGAUUUCUACACUUAAUAGAUAAAUGAUGAGAUGCAAAAAAAUAACAUUCUCAAGUAUAAAGAAAUAGAAAGCUAUGAUAUCAAAGCAAGCCAAAUUAUCCAACGAAAAAGAAGUUAACCUAUCUCCUAAAAAUCUUACAAAAAAUCGAAUCUAGCACAAUAUAAUUAACUAGCCUUUGAAAAAAAGACAUGAAUCCACAAUCAUAGUUGCUUAAAAUUUGGACAAAUAGAUUAACGUAUAUUUGCUCCAAAUAUUAUGAUGUGAUAAAGUCUAAGACAUGUUUUCAUUAAGCAAAGAAAAGGAGAAUGAGCAAGAGAUGAGAAAAUCUUUCAUAGCACCUCAAAUAUAAAAUACAAGAUAUACUAAUGUAACAGUAUUUUUUAAUACAAAAUGGAUCAAUCAACAUAUCUAUAACUUAGAAUAAAAAAAUCAAUAUAGCAUGUGAAUAACAAUGGGAUGUCUAAAUGAAUAAAAUCACUUUAAGACCAAUAAGCAUAGUGAAACAAAUAGCAUAUAUUAAGCAACUUUGAGAAAUGAUAUUCUAAGACAAAAUAGAAGAAAUAGUAAAAGAUUAAUUCUUAGAAAAAGUGUCCAAUUAUAUCAACUCUUAUUUUAGUUCUACACCAUUUCAACAAAACCUAUAACCCCAACAUCUUUUCAAUAUAAACAAGAGAAAAUCAAAGACAAUUUUGACCACAAAAACGAGUAAAUCACUACUUCAAAUUGAGAAACAAUUUUACAUACUCUUAACAAUAGUAACCAUUCAUUUUCGAUAUAAAGGAAACAACUUUACAUACUAAAAGCAAACAGAUCCACCAAUAAUGAAUUUAAACAAAGAAUGAGCAUGCAUUUUAAGUAAAGAUCAAAAUUUUACCCAUAAUAAUCAAAGAAUAAAGCCAAAAGGCGAAACAAUCAAUAUUUACUGUUCUUUUCAACGUAAGGUAAACAACUUUACAUACUAAAAACAAAUAUAUCCACCAACAAUGAAUUUAAACAAAUCAUGAGUACAUAUUUUAAGCAAAGAUCAAAACUUUAUCCAUAAUAAUUAAAGAUUAAAGUCAAAAGGUGAAACAAUCAAUAUUGACUAUUCUUUUCAAACAUAAAGGAAAUAACUUCAUAUGAUAAAAACAAACAUAUACGCCAACAAUGAAUUUAAACAAAGCAUGAGUAUAUAUUUUAAACAAAGAUCAAAACUUUAUCUAUAAUAAUAAAAAAAUAAAGUCCAAAAAAAUACGUUCAACUAUUGCCAGCUCAUUUUUAUACCAUGAAUAUGAAAAUAGCCAUAAUAUCGAUACCAUAACGUUUUAUGGCCUUCAAGGCCAUCUACAAUAAACAAUUCCAACAAAUAAAAUUGCAGCUACGAACUAUGAAGAAGAAAAAGAUGAAGAAGGCAACGACAAUAAAGCUAAAAAAGGGGAAAGGUGUGUUUACCUUUUUUGGAGAAGAAAAAUGGAACUACAAGAUUUUUUCGGAGUUUUGAUCACCACCUGAAGGCGUUGAACUCGAGAACUUCGAUUAAUUCAUGAAUUUCAUGAAAAAGGAUAAUUUUUACUAAAAUAAAAAAAAAAACUCUUCUUUGCUCAAAGUUUUUUUUUUUCAACCUUGAGACUUUUUUGACUUUGAGACUUCUUUCUACCAAAAUAAUGGUAGUAUUUAUAGGAAAGUAUGGGGAUCCAAUUCUAUUAAUCACCAAUAUGCGAGAAAAAUUUAGGGGUGUUUUUUGAAUUUUUAAAAUUGAAAAUAAGAUGAGGUGGAAGAUAAGGUGAGAGAAAUUGUACAAUGUAGUACAAUUUUUGAAUUUCAAAAUUAAAAAAAGGACAAGGUUGAGGAAAAAUUGUACAAUGUAGUAUAAUUUUUGAAUUUUAAAAGUUGAAUUUCGGGAUUUGAAUUUGAUUUUGGUGGGAAUUGGAUAGAAAUUAUGAGAGGUUUUGUGAAUUUAGGGCUAUCUAAAAUAUAACCCGAAUUAGGAUUUAAAAUUUAACCAAAUAUAUUUAAUUCUAACCAAAUUGAAAAUCAAUUGGCCGAUUGCAUUGCAAUUAUGGCCAAUUUAAUUUCAAUUAUGUCCAAAUAUAAUAGAUUGGCUAAAUUGAAUUAAAAAAGCAAUACAAAAUAAUACUUCUUUUAAUUCUGAGCUUCUUGAUUUAAUAAAAUCAAAUAAAUAUUUCUCCAAAUAAAUUAAUUUUGAGAAUAAAUUUUAUUUAGAUCAAGACUUUAUCUGUUUAGAUUAAUAUUCAAGCUUAAUGAGUAAAAGUUCAAUUUUGAUAAAAGUGUUCAUUUAAGUAAUAAAAUUUAUGUAAUUUCGCAUAUGUAAAUACGAAAACGUAUAAUCUUCAAUUAAAUGAUAAAAUUAACCCAAAUAAAUAUUUUAGAGCGCAUUUAUCUGGAUGAAAGAAAUAUUUUAAUUUUAUUAAAAAUUGAAGAAAUCCAGGGUUAAAUUUAGUCGUGGAAGGCAAAACAUAGGUGUCAACAACUGUCCCUCCCUUUUGGUAGGGUGGACGUAAGUAACCCUGGGUAAAGGGAGUUUGAUAUUCCUAAUUUUUGUCCGACCACAAAUUCAUUUCUGAAAGAGAUUGAUUUUCGCACCAAUUUCAUGGAGUUAUGGCUGGACCUUGAUAUCAGGUUUUCCACAUAUCUCAGGUUACAUGAGAAUUCAGGCCACUUGUAGUUUAUAAAGCUUGACUUAAAGCACAAUUUUUCAAGAAAUUACAAGCUAUCUCGAUUUUGAAUUUUAGUGAAAUCAUUUCUGGGGAGUAAGCGGAUUGGGGGGAGGUUGAAAUGCAGUCGAGUUUCAAUAAAGAGCCCAACCUACAUAUCCUUUAGACUCAGGAAAUCAGACUGCUUGUAGUUCGACUCGAUCGGUAGAAAAAAUAGUCUUUUAUUUUAGAAUAAAGCCAAAAAAAUAUGUUCAACUAUUGCUAGCUCAUUUUUUAUACCAUGAAUAUGAAAAUAGUCAUAAUAUUGAUACCAUAACGUCCUAUGGGCUUCAAGGUUGUCUAAAACAAACAAUCCCAGCAAAUAAAAUUACAACUACGAACUACGAAGAAGAAGAAAAAUGAAGAAGACAACGAUAAUAAAACUAAAAAGAGGAAAAAUUGUGUUUACCUUUUUUGGGGCAGCAAAACAGAACUACGAGCAUUUCUUCGAAGUCUUGAUCACCACUGGAAGGUGUUCAACUCGAGAACUUCAAUUAGCCCACGAAUUUCACGAAAAAGGAAAAUUUUACUAGAAUAAAAAAACUCUUCUUUGCUCAAAGCUUUUUUUUUUUUUUUCAACUUUAGACUUUUGACUUUGAGACUUCUUUCAACCAAAAUAAUGGUAGUAUUUAUAGGAAAGGAUGGUGAACCAAUUCUAUUAAUCACCAAUGUAGGAGAAAGAAUUUAGGGGUAUUUUAUGAAUUUUUAAAAUUAAAUAUAAGGUGAUAUGGAAGAUAAAGCGGGGGAAAAUUGUACAAUGUAGUAUAAUUUUUGAAUUUCAAAAUUGAAAAAAGGACAAGGUUGAGGGGAAAUUGUAUAAUUUAGUACUAUUUUUGACUAACAAAAUUGGAAAAACGAAUAGGUUGAGGGGGAAUUGUACAAUGUAGUACUAUUUUUGAAUUUCAAAAUUGAAAAAAUGAUAAGAUUGAGGGGGAAUUGUACAAUGUAGUACAAUUUUUGAAUUUCAAAAUUUAAAUUUUGGGAUUUGAAUUUGAUUUUGGUGGGAAUUGGGUAGAAAUUAUGAGAGUUUUUGGGAAUUUAGGGUAAUUAAAAUAUAACCCCAAUUGAGAUUUAAAAUAUUGCCAAAUAUAUUUAAUUUUGGCCAAAUUGAAAAUCAAUUGGCUGAUUUCAUCAAUUGAGGAAAAAAAUUAUUUGAAUCAAGACUUUAUCCGUUUUGAUUAAUAUUCAAACUUAAUUAGUAAAAGUUCAAUUUUGAUAAAAGUGUUGAUUUAAGUAACAAAUUUUAUAUAAUUUUGCAUAUGUAAAUACGAAAACGUAUAAUCGUCAAUUAAAUAAAAAAAUUAAUCCAAAUAAAUAUUUUAGAGCGCAUUUAUCUGGAUGAAAUAAAUAUUUCAAUUUUAUUCAAAAUUAAAGAAAUCAAGAUUAAAUUUAGUCGUAAAUGGCAAAAAUUAGAUGUCACCAACAGUACUAAUAUAGGAUACUUACCAUAGUUGCAUAUAAGAUUCAUUUCUUUCCACUGAGAAGUAUGUUACUAUGAAAAUGAUUUGGACAUUAUCGGUUGUUAUUGCUAUAGUUUUUGGUAUCAUAUUAUUAUCGUUGUAGUUAUUUGUUGGUGACUUAGCUAUAUUAUUAAUAAGUAAAGGAGGGAUGUAACCCAACACAACAAAGAACACCAAGAGGAUCCUCAACUACCUAACACAGUCUAGAAGAGCACCCCUCCAUGCACAUUAUCAAAAGACUUUUCCUUGUGCGUGCCCGUUGAUAUUGGGGAUUCUAGUGUUCAUAGCUUUCCUUCAGCACAAAAGCUUUUCCAUGGUUUGUUAUCACAAUACAACUUUUUAGUUCUUCUUCACAAAGAAAGAAUUGUAUUCCAUCCUGUUCCAUCUCAAAAGGAGGACAGUAUGUUGGACUGAUUGGCUUGUAUUGUGCAGUAUAUUAACUUCAUCACUAUCACAUUCUCUAAAACAACUAGGUACUCUCUCCGUUCCAAAAUAAUUGAAUUGUUGGAAUAUGACACACAUGUUAAAAAAAAAAGACAAAGACAUAAAUGUUAUUUUGGGUACACAAUCUGUAUGUUUACACAAGCACUUCAACAUUUGUUCAAGACAGUUUCAAGAACACUUAUGAAGUUUUUAACACCUUCAAUACAAGUUCAUCAAGAACUAUCAAAGAAAUAUGUUAUUUAAAGAAACAAGAUGAAGUAGAAAACUGAAUUAAGUCCUCCGAUUUCACGGAGUGUCCUUAAGUAAUUAAUUUUCCUCAAGUACCCGAGAUGCGAAAUUUUUCCUCCCAUGAUAAAAUGUCUCACAAUCAGAAUGUAGAGGUACCUCAAACCUUCUAAUUCUUCGAACACACUCAACGGUAGAUGAUCACACAAAGUUAUUUUUUUUAGAAGUAGAAGAGAGUUUUUCAAUACAGAAAUUUUCGUUCUAACUGAGGAAAAAAUUCAGGUAUUUAUAGCCAUCAAAUGCUCCUUCGAAAAGGAAGCAACGGUUCAUCGAAGGGUGUAUCACUUCGGAAUAGUGAUGUCUGUCCAUUCCGAAAUAGUAUGUCUUUUUUAAACAGUCACGUCCGACUGAACAGUCACCCCUUUUCUGAAACAGUGUGUCUUUUUCUUGAAGGGUUGUGUUCCUUUCAAGGUGCAUUUCGGCAUGCUUCUGCAUGGCAUUUUUAUGGAGAGGAAAAAAAUAUUUUUGUUUUUCCUUGGAUUUUCUGGAUCACUUGUUAAUCCAAGUUUCAAAUAAACAUUGUCUAAAAAGUUAAUCUCAUCGACCGAUCAUUUUUCAAAUCCAAAUUUGAAGCCGACACUACUAAAAAAAAGAAAAAAACCAACCACAUGUGAUCGAUUUUCCUCAAUUUUCGACCACAAAACCGAUCAAAAUGUGUGGUCGGUAAAGUAGUGGUAGUUUCUUAAAAACCGACCACAAGUGGUCAGUUUUUUAAAAUAUAUAUAUAUAUAUUUUUAAAAUUCAUUAUUAUUUUAUUAAAAUUUAAAAAAACAAUUUUAGGAAAAAAAUGACCAUAAGUGGUCGGUUUUUUAUUAAAUUAAUUAAUUAAUUUUAAUAUUAAACCGACCACACCGACCACAAGUGGUCGGUUUUUCUGGAAAAUUUAAAAAAAAUAAAAAUCAAAACUCAAAUACAGCAUGCAACAACAACAAUCCAAUACAAUAGUAACCAAAUCAAAUAUAACAGCAACAACAACCAAAAACCAAAUGUAAUACUUUCAAAAGUAUACAACACAUACAAAAUGUCCAACAAAAGUUAGUAUGAAAAAACUAGAACAAUAGUUUCAAACAACAAAAUGUCUAAAUUCAGAGUAGAACACAUACAAAAAUAAGAAAACUAAAAGUCAUCAUCAUCGAAUUCGUCCUUGUCUUCCAUAUCAUCAUCCAUGCUGAAAUCAUCCAGGGGCCUAGACCUUUUGCAGCCCGAACUGCAUCACCAGGACACAGAGGAAUAACCCCCGCAGUCAGAAUGAAAGAGCUAAACUUUUGCUGCAGCAUCUUGAUUUGUGAUGUUGUUGCUUCUCCGUUUUCUUCUACCUCUUUCUCUAUUCAGCAAACCUCUCUCUCUGUUCAGCAAGCUCUUUAGUGAGUUGAGAAACCGUAUUUUGUAGUCUUUCAAUGGUUUCUCUAUCAACUGAAGAGCUAGAGUAUGCAGCGCCAGACGAACACCUAAUAUUAUCGCCACAAAAUUUUGUGUGGUAUCCGUAGAAAUGGCCUCUAUUUGCAGGAGUCGCAACUUUUGUCCAUAACUCCUCCUGUACAUGCUGUGGUAUUGGGUCACCCUAACUUUCAGGAGGCUGACUACUAUGAUACUCACCAACAAGACGCAUAUAUUCGUCCUAUAUUCAAAGUAAAGUUAAUACUAAAAGUAAAAAAAUAUUAAAGUAGUUAUAAUUGAAUAAUAUCAACUUUGAGAAGAAGAUUCAUAAAUUCAAAAUUUGUUUCUUACGUGGAUAACUUUUGCACGAGCUUCAACCCAGACAUCUUUAUCAGUCGGGUUCUUUUUCUUUUUCAGAUGAGUCUGCUCGAAUAGCUCAUCAGUUGUUAUUUCCCUACCCUCUUCUUUUUUCUGCAUAUGAAAAAUUAUCAAUGUUCAAAUAAUAAAAAAAUUUAAUAGAAAAAAAUAAUUAAAACUGUAAAAGUUACAUACCAGUUUUUCCUUCAUAGCAAGAGUACUUCUGGCACCCGCAGUAAGUAGGGAUCCACCCUUGGAUGAUGCCCGGUCUUUCUUUUCUUUUUCACUCAACAAUUGAUAUUUUGCGCUACUCCAAUGGCGAAGGUACAGUUGCCAUGCGGCUUCAAGAAUCCACUUAGGUUUUACCAAUUUCUUUCGGGCAUAAUUCAAGAGAUCGUUAAAUCUGGCUCUACAUCUUAUGAAAAAAAAAAUUAUAAGAAAUGUAUUUGCAUCAUCCCACCAUUAAAAUUUCUACAACGAAAAUAUAAUAUUUAAUCUUUUGUUCUAACAAAGUGCUAAUAAGUAGUCGAUAAGUUAAAUCUUUACCUUAAAUUCUUCAAACAUUCUAUCCCUGUCAAGUUUUGGAACCUUUUGCCAGCUUGUCCAGUAGCCGUUGAAAUGCCGAGUAAUGCAUAUUCGCGUCUUUUGUCCAAGUCCAGCAUCCGGCCUAAACCUAUAACACAAGAUCAAACAGUAAUUUCAUAGAGCAUAAUAAUAUAGUAAUGAAAAAAUGAGUAACGUUAUUAUAUUUAGAAAUCUUACCCUCUCGCAACUGGAUCAAGAUAAAUCCUCCUAGAAUCAUCUUUGUCUCCUGGCUUCCUAGUAAGUGAUGGUGGAUGCAUAGACGUGGGCGUAUAUGAAGCACCAGAUGGAGUGCCUCCAAGCUGAAAUCUGAAAACCCAAUAGAUCUGGUUGAAUCACUGUGCGAAGUUGCGUGACUGCUGCAAGAGGGUAUCGAUGAUGGUAGAUGUCUGGAGGGGCUAGCGAUCGUCCGAUAGUACUGCGCUGGCGGUGGCAUGGUCAUACGAGCAGAAUGAGUCGGUGUAAACCCAUGUAGUGGCCCCACAUGCGUAGGAGUAGGUAUCGAAUUCUCGGAUGACCUAGAAUAUGAGGGUCAUGCUAUCACAUCAGCAAACCGACCCUCAAAUAUAUGAGUACCUGUUGGUUGUUGCGGAGGUUGUCUUUUCUUUUUUAGUUUCGUAGUAUCAACUUUUUCUUUACCUUUGUUACCUCUGCUUGACAUCUAAAUUAUAUUAAGUUAACAAGUAGUUAGUUCCUACAAAAUGAAUGUACAAGAAACAUUCCAAGUAAAUAAUUUCAAGUUACUAAUUCAUAUUUCAAAUCGCUCCAACAACACGACAUAUAGACAAAAAAAAAUUUAUUACUAUACAAAUCAUGGAAAAGUGGAAACAAUAAACUUAAACAGUAUAUUACAUAUCAAUCUUAAACAAGAAACAUAAAGGUAAAUAUAUAGUACAAAGCAUAUAGACAUCAAUACAUAAUAAAUACAACCUAUACAACUAAUCCUCAUCUUCUGAAGACUCUUCACUAAACCAUUCACCCUCUUCGGAGGUUUCCUCAUCUCCUACCCGCUCAUCCUCUUCUUCCGCAAUAUUAACUUCUUCAAAUAUAUUUUUUGGGUGAUUCAAGUGUUCCACUAAUUCAACGUCCACUAGCUGGUGAUCAAUCAGCAUUUCAUUUUGAUACGUAGUCUCCAGCACAUUCUCAACUUUCACCCGGCCUAUAGGCUUUGUUUUAAUUACAGCCCACCAAUCAGACUUGUCAUUGCACAACGGAUAAGGAGCAUAAUACACUUGUUUAGCAUUUUGCGCUAGAACAAAUGGAUCGUAAAUAGGAUACGAACUAUUGUGCUUCACUUCAAUGAUGUUAUGCUCCCUAUGUACUCUUGUGCCUCUUGUCUUGGAUCAAACCACUUACAUCGAAAGAGGAUAAUUUUUUUAUUGGGAAAUCGGCAUACUCCAGUUCUAAGAUCUCGUGUAUGAUACCAAAGUAAUCAACAUCAUGAUCACCCUUAACCCAAACACCACUAUUAUUUGUUUUCCUUAUUUUGGAGAGUUGUUCAGUGGAAAAUUUAAAUUCAUUUACUUUGUAUUGGGACAUUGCAUUAGCUUCAACUGGACCCAAAGAAAUAUCUGUCAAGAGUUGAUCGUAUGCGGCUGCAUUUGGUGAAUGGUGUACCUAAAAAUAUUAUACAUAUAUAUGUAUUAGUUGAGGAAUGUGUAAAAGCUUAAAAUUUGUAAAAAUAUUAAUACACUUACGAACCUCAUUUUUAAACCAUGUUGCAAAGGAUGCAUAUACUUGAUUUUUGUGGAAUUGAGUCUUAAAUGAACUGGGCAUCCCACAUGGGAAACACAAUUAGUUUCUUUAAGGGAAUGAGUAAACAAAUAAGAUAUGUUAAAAUUUUAAUCUCCUUACUUCAGAAAGGGCUCAAUUUUCGGGCAAUUCAGCAUAACAUACAAAGUUGCUGAUUUGCUCUCCAUGGGAGUGAGCCGACGAGGUAUGGUCUUUUUAGUAUUACAACCAGAUUGAUUGAAACUUGAUAUCGAUUGCAAAUGAAGCUUAUUAACAUCGUCCUGAUGACGAUUAGGUUGGUUUCUUGAACAAGCAACUUCAUCACGAAAGUAGUAUGAAUAAAAUUGAGAAGUUUCUCUCGCAAGAUAUUCCUCAACUAUAGAGCCUUCAACCCUAUAUUUGUUUUUGGGACCCCUUUUCAAUUUUCCAAUUGCCCUGUACAAUCUUAACGUUAGAUAUUUACUAUAUUUAAAAAAGAUAUGUAUGAAUUUAAAAUAUGUUGCAGAUGCUUACCGCUCGAAUGGAUACAUCCACCUAGUUUGAACUGGACCGCCUAGCUGAGCUUCAUGCACAAGGUGAAUGGGAAGAUGUUCCAUCACAUCGAAGAACGCUGGCGGAAAAAUCUUCUCCAGCUUGUUGGUGAUAACAAUAAUAUUACUUUCUAUUUGCACCAGAUUUUCUUCUUUUAAUGUGGUGGCACAUAAUUCUUUGAAGAACAAACUGAUCUCUGCUAUUGGUUUCCAUAUAUUUUCAGGUAAACCAAUAAAAGCAAUUGGAAGUAAUUGUUCCAUGAAAAUAUGACAAUCAUGGCUUUUCAUUUCAGACAAGAUUCCUUGUUCAUAUCAACCCUCUUUUCCAAAUUUGAGGCAUAGCCAUCGGGAAUCUUCAAACUUUAAACCCACUCAUAUAUUUCACGUUUUUGGUCUAACUUGAAUGUAAAACUAUCCUUGGGCUUAAGAACAUUUCCGUUGGGCCCCUACUGUAAGUGUAGUUCUCUGCGAUUGCAAUAUUCUGGUAAGUCAAGUCUGGCCUUAGGAUUAUCCUUUGUUUUAUCGGUGACAUUCAUAACUGUGUUGAACAAGUGUCAAAAUAGUUCUUCUCAGUAUGCAUGACAUCAACAUUAUUUGGCAGUAAAUUAUCUGGUCAAUAUUCUAACUCCCAAAAUAUACUUUUCUUAGUGCAGUUAUGCGAAAUGUCAUAUCCAUCAAGACUGUACAAUCGUUCCUCGCUGGCUUUAGGCAAAUCCUGAACUAUUUUCCAGACGUCAUGACCAGACAACCUUGGAGGUGGACCAUCAUGUUCCCUUUUAUUCCUUCUGAACGCAUUCUUGAGUCUCCUAAAUUCAUGAUCAGGUGGCAAGAAACAAUGAUGACAAUCAAACCAUGAAUUUUUCCUACCAUGUCUCAAUGUGAAAGAUUUUGCUUUUUCCAUGCAUUAUGGACAAGCCAUCUUUCCAGCUGUCAUCCGCCCAAACAAUAUUCCAUAAGCAGGAAAAUCAUUAACAGUCCACAUUAGAUAUGCACGCAGAUUGAAAUUCUAUUUAAGAGAGAUGUCCUAAGUUUCAACCUCCUCAUGCCAUAAAAAUUGAAAUUCAUCAAUCAAAGGUUGCAAGUAGACAUCUAUUUCGCUUUUUGAAUUACGCGGUCUAGGAAUAACAUAAUUCAGAAAUAUAUAGAGACUAGUCAUCAACAGUUCAGGAGAAAAAUUAUAAGGAGUGAUAAAUACAGGCCAACAUGAAUAUGGCGCACCACCAACUGAAAAAGGAGAGAACCCAUCCGCACAUAAUCACAAUUGAAUGUUUCGUGACUCAGCUGUAAAAUCUCAAUAAGUCGCAUCAAAAUGCUUCUAAGCCUCUCCAUCAGAUAGAUGACACAUAACACCAGUGGUCCUUCUAUUUUCACUGUGCCAUCUCAUAUGAGGAGCUGAGCUAUUUGAAGCAUACAACCUCUUCAACCUUGGUAUAAGAGGUAAAUAAUGCAUCGCCUUAAUAACAAUUUUAUUUCCAGUAGAACCAUACUUAUACUGAGAGUGCAGACAAAACUUACAUAACUCUAGCUUAGCAUCUUCCUUAAAGUAUAGCAUGCAACCAUUUUCACAACAAUCAAUUCUAACCGAUGAGAGACCUAACUUUGACACCAAUCUUUUUACCUAAUAGAAAGAAUUAGGAACCUCCAAGCUGGGGUCAACUAACGCUUUAAUAAAGUCUAUCAUUGAGUCCAUUCCUCCUUCAGCAAUAUUCCAGUCUGAUUUAAUACUUAAUAAUCUAACAGCAACAGACAAACGAGAGUGCAAACACCCGUCAAACAAAGGAUAACUAGCAGCAUGCAAUUCUUUGUAGAAAUUGCCCGCUUCGCUAUUAGGAACAUCUUUAACAUUUUCCCUAAAGUCAACCCCGUGUUGCAUCCCAAAAGCAUCGUGCACCAUUUCUAUCAUCCUAAUAUCUUGAUAUUCAUUAUGCCCUGCAGACCUACUACUUGCUCUAACAACAAAGUUAUUUUGUGCAAUAUCCCCAUGAAUACCACGCAAUCUUAAAAAGUCAUCGUGAAACCCCUUUCUAUAAAGAUGUUCCUUUAUAUCUUCUUCACUUACAAGAUUUAUACCAUCACAUCUAACACAAGGACAACUAAUAACCCGAUAACGUGUCUACAUAUCAAGUGUCUUAGCAUGUUCAAUAAAUCUUUUGACACCUUCAACAAAUUCCUCUCUAAUACCCAUUCUAUUAUCAUUGUUCCGUUGAUAUAUCCAACUAUAAUCAGGUUCCAUCUACGUAAUCAAUCAAAUUCAACGAAUUAGAUCAAGUCACGAAAUUUAACCAUUUUCAAGCAACUAAGUCACCUACCAAACUACAUUCAAAACAAAAAAAUCUCCUUUAAAGUCCCUACACUUAACCAUUUUCAACCAACUAAGUAUCAAAAUAAAACCACAUUCAAAACAAAAAAAAAAUCCUCUUUAAAGUCCCUAUACUUAACCAUUUAUAACCAACUAAGCAUCAAAACAAAACCACAUUCAAAAUUAAAAAAAAAUCCUCUUUAAAGUCCCUAGACUUAACCAUUUUCAACCAACUAAGUCACUUACCAAACCACAUUCAAAACAAAAAAUCCCCUUUAAAGUCCGUAAACUUGACCAUUUUCAACCAACUAAGUCACUUACCAAACCACAUUCAAAACAAAAAAUCCCCUUUAAAGUCCGUAAACUUGACCAUUUUCAACCAACUAAGUCACUUACCAAACCACAUUCAAAACAAAAAAUCCCCUUUAAAGUCCGUAAACUUGACCAUUUUCAACCAACUAAGUCACUUACCAAACCACAUUCAAAACAAAAAAUCCCCUUUAAAGUCCGUAAACUUGACCAUUUUCAACCAACUAAGUCACUUACCAAACCACAUUCAAAACAAAAAAUCCCCUUUAAAGUCCGUAAACUUGACCAUUUUCAACCAACUAAGUCACUUACCAAACCACAUUCAAAACAAAAAAUCCCCUUUAAAGUCCGUAAACUUGACCAUUUUCAACCAACUAAGUAUCAAAACAAAAUCACAUUCAAAACACAAAAUCCCCUUCAAAGUCCCUAGACUUAACCACUUUCAACCAACUAAGUCACCUACCAACCACAUUCAAAACAAAAAAUUCUCCUUUAAAGUCUCUAGACUUAACCAUUUUCAACCAACUUAGUCACCUACCAAACCACAUUCAAAACAAAAAAUUCUCCUUUAAAGUCUCUAGACUUAACCAUUUUCAACCAACUUAGUCACCUACCAAACCACAUUCAAAACAAAAAAUUCUCCUUUAAAGUCUCUAGACUUAACCAUUUUCAACCAACUUAGUCACCUACCAAACCACAUUCAAAACAAAAAAUUCUCCUUUAAAGUCUCUAGACUUAACCAUUUUCAACCAACUUAGUCACCUACCAAACCACAUUCAAAACAAAAAAAAUCUCCUUUAAAGUUCCUAAACUUAACUUUUUCCAAGCAACUAAUUCACUUACCAAACUACAUUCAAAACAAAAAAAUCCUCUUUAAAGUCUCUACACUUAACCAUUUUCAACCAACUAAGUAUCAAAACAAAACCACAUUCAAAACACAAAAUCUCCUCCAAAUUUCUUAGACUUAACCAUUUUUAACCAACUAAGUCACCUACCAGACCACAUUCAAAAUAAAAAAAAUCUCUUUCAAAGUCCCUAAACUUAACCAUUUUCAACCAACUAAGUCACCUACCAGACCACAUUCAAAAUAAAAAAAUUCCCUUUAAAGUCCCUACACUUAACCAUUUUCAACCUACUAAGUCACCUACCAAACCACAUUCAAAAUAAAAAAAUUCCCUUUAAAGUCCCUACACUUAACCAUUUUCAACCUACUAAGUCACCUACCAAACCACAUUCAAAAUAAAAAAAUUCCCUUUAAAGUCCCUACACUUAACCAUUUUCAACCUACUAAGUCACCUACCAAACCACAUUCAAAACAAAAAAAUCCUCUUUAAAGUCCCUACACUUAACCAUUUUCAACCAAGUAUUAAAACAAAGCCACAUUCAAAACACAAAAUCUCCUUCAAAGUUUCUAGACUUAACCAUUUUCAACCUACUAAGUCACCUACCAAACCACAUUCAAAACAAAAAAAUUCCCUUUAAAAUCCCUAAAUUUAACCAUUUUCAACCAACUAAGUAUCAAAACAAAACCACAUUCAAAUCAAAACGUCAACAAGACCAACAAGAUGUCAAGAACAAUGCUAGUGAAUCGCACAAGGCCACACACGACUUCAAUAUGAACAAUGAAAGGAAGAUAUAACAACAAUAGUGAAUCGUACAAGGCCCCACACGGCUUCACUAUGUCAACAUACCUUUGAUAUUUUUCUUAAUUUCUUGAUAUUUCGAAAUGGCAGCUUCAAUCUGCUUAUAGAUUCUCUCACGGGAAGUUGCAAUAUCGAAAAUGAUGAGCUUAGUAAAUUAAAAGAUAGACUAGUGCAAUUUUCUCCAAAAUAUCCAUCUACUCUAUGCAAGAUAUUACUCAUUUCAGUCCACAUAACACACACAAUCCAUACUCCAUUCAAGUUUUUCCCCAAUUUCCCCAUUUUCAACCAAAACAUAAGAACUAGGGUUUCAAAAUUCAAAAUAAAGUGAAGUUAACUCAAAAUAAGGUCAACAAAUUACAAAAUCUUACUUAUUUGAGUUGGAAAAAUCAAGAUUUUCUAUGAGAACCCACUUCUUCGACUGAUUUCAAGUGUCAGCAUGUGUUUGUGUGUAUAUGCGGGUUGAGUGUUUGUGUGUGUAUGUUGUUUCCCGUUUGUUUUUGUGUAUAUCAAUUGGGAAAGUUAAUUAUUUAGGUGGGUCGGAUCGGGUUAUAAAUUAUUUUUAUUUAUUAUUUAUUUAACAGUAAAACCGACCACACUUGGUCGAUUUUCUAAAAAUAUUUUUGAAAACCGACCACAUGUGGUUGGUUUUUGGAAAAUAUUUUUGAAAACUGACCACUUGUGGUCGGUUUUUACAAAAUUUUUGAUAAAUUAAAUUUUAAUAAACUACAAUUAAUAAAUUAAAAUAAAUUAAUAAAUUAAAAUUAAUUUUUAAUAUAUAAAUCAGAUAAUUAGUUAUUUUAUCAUCACAUUAACAUGAGUAGUAUAUUUCCUCCAUCCUAUAAUAAUAUCAAUGAAUUUGGCAAAUUACAAUAAAUCUUUGGUUCAUUAGCUUUAAUUAUGAUAUUAUAUAUAUAUGUAUAUAUAUGUGUAUAUAUAUAUAUAUAUACGUAUUAAUCAGAUAAAUUAUCGAUGUAUUACGUUAUUACAACUUCAACAAUAUACACGCAUCUAUAUUGACAUAAAAUAGUAUAUCUAUUUCUUCAAUAGUAUGAUAUUAUUGUAUUAUUCAAAAUAUUUUGAUAUAUAGAUUCAGUUAUCGAUCUUUCGUUUACUGCAUAUGUCACUACAUGAGAUAUAUGUAUAUAUACAUAUAUUCAAUUGUCUAUCACCGUUUAAAUACCUAAUAUAAAUAUCACAUACAUGAUUUUUCCACCCCAUAAUAAUAUUCAAAGUAUUUCACAUAUACGCAUAUACAAAAAAUUUAUGCGAAAAAACUCAAAUUCACCGUCAAAAUUUGGCGGUCGUUCAAAAUUCAAAAUUCAAAGCAAAUGGUAAGUAUAUAACAGUUUCAUGAUUUAAUUUUUCCUUCCCCUACUUCCUUACCCCCCCCCCCCCCCCAGUAAAAUAUUCGAGCCUUAAUUAUUGAUUAUUUAUGUUAUGUUAGUUUGCGUGUGUCUACAUUAUAUUGACACAAAAUAGUAUAUCUAUUUCAUCACUACACGAGAUAUACGUAUAUAUAAAUAUAUUCAAUUGGCUAUCAACAUUCAAAGACAUACUACAUACAUCACAUACCCGAUUUUACUACCCCAUAAUAAUAUACGACGUAUUUCACAGAAACUCAGUUGAAUUAUAGGUUGGUUUAUCUUAUGUCAUUAAUAUAACUUCACUAUAUAAUAUGUAUAUACUAAAUAUUUAUAUACCUAUACAUACACACACAUAUAUAUACACAUUAUCGACUAUAUCAAUACGUACUAUAUACAUCACAUACGUACACAAGUAUCUUAUCCAAUAAUAUAAUGCGACGUAUUUCACAUACGUACUAUAUACAUCACAUAUCCGAUUUUACUACCGCAUUGUAUUUCACAUAUACUCAAAUAAAUUAUCGGUUGAUUUAUCUUAUGUCAUUAAUAUACCAUCGCUAUAUAAUAUGUAUAUAUAUUAUAUAUAUACAUAUACAUGCACACACAUAUGCACACUAUCGACUAUAUCAAGUUCAAAAUAGGUACUAUAUACAUACAUACAUAUACAAGUAUAUUUUCCAAUAAUAUAAUGCGAUGUGUUUCUUAUACAUACAUAGAUUAGUGAUCGAUUAAUUAUAUUUGAUUAGCUUAAUAUAUUAGUUUUUGAUUAUAUAUAUAAUUAGGUUUACUUAAAAUUAUUUAAUUUUUAAUUUUUUUUGUUUCAUAAACCUUUUUUUAAAAUUAUUUUUUUUAUUUUAACUAGAAAACCGACCACUUGUGGUUGUUUUUUUAAAAAAUAAAUUUAAAAAAAAUAAAAAACAACCACAAGUGGUCGGUUUUUAUAAAUAUUUUUUAAUUAUAUUUUAAAAAAAAACGACCACUGGUGGUCGGUUUUGUUUUUUUUUUUAAUUUUUAUUUGUUAAAUAAAUAAUAAUUAUUUUAAUUUUUUAAAAUAAAAAAGUUACCACUUGUGGUCGCUUUUUUUUUAAAAAAAAAAAAAAAGAACCGACCGCGUGUGGUCGGUUUUAUUGAUUUUGUCAGUAGUGCGAGCCGAGCGAGCGACGAUGACGACGGCGCUAGGUACCUCUUGGUUCUUGCCUCAUUAUCCACUUGAAGGAGUGUUACUCAAUAAAAACACAUUAAAAUUGCUUUCUCCCACCAAUAUGGGAGAACUAUAUUUUCCUUAAAUGAGUACACUUUCUCUCCAAGACUUUCUCUUCAUUUUCUAUUCACACCAAUUGAACCCAACAAUCCCCCACAUAAAUGGGAAAUUACUAUUCUUUAUAAAACUUUACCGACAAAUGUGUGAUUAGCAAGCAAAGACUGAUUGCUUUUGGAUAAGUAGGUUUUCCUUUGAACUUUUCGUAGUGAACAUACAUCAGAUGCACUCGGUCAAUCGAUUGAUUUGAUAUCUUUGAACUGUCGAGCUUUAAUGUAUAUCUAGACAACACAUGUCACACAACCAGCCUUUUACCGUUUAUGGUUCUCACGAUUUUGUUUGUUUAAGCCAUACGUCCUGGUUUUAUGAGAGCUUAGAGUAGGACUUUACUAACAUUUUCUUUAAAGUGGCUUCGACUUCACCCUCACAUAGGUGAUUUCUAAACGUUCAAUCCUAGAGAUUAAACUAUUUGGUCAAAUCUACCAAAUUUAGAUAAUCAUUAAAAGGCUUCACACCAUAAGCCUUAUCUUUGUUUACUAAACAUUGUCAACAUCAUGAGAAUGGGUUGGGUAUAUUGACAAUGUUGAACCUGUCAAUCACAAAUUUGUUUGAUCUCCUUGAACCUAGCUCUUGGAAACUCCAGUCUGCUAGGUGGAGUUACCAUCAUGCUGACUUGUCCUAGGCCAUAAUAAACCUAUUCCCUUUGAUGUUCUCUCAAAUCCUUCUCUAAAUAGUCCUUUUGUAAGUGUAUCAGGCACAUUAUCCUUUGGCUUUACAUAGUCAACAGUGAUAAUUCUACUAGAGAGAAGUUCUAUAACAGUAUUAUGUCUUCAUCUUAUAUGAUGAGAUUUACCGUUAUACAUCAUGCUCCUUGCCCUACCUAUCGUCACUUGCCUAUCACAGUGUAUACAUACUGGUGCCACUAGCUUGGGUAAAUAUAGAAUAUUUUCCAAAAAAUUAUAGAUCCAUUCAGUUUCUUUACCAGCUUUACCUAAUGCGAUAAAUUCAUAUUCCAUUGUAGAGCGAGCAAUACAUGUUUGUUUGGAUGAUUUCUAAGAGAUUGCUCCUCCACCUAAAGUAAUACACAUCCACUCGUGGAUUUUACUUCAUUCAAUCUGGUGAUACAAUUUGCAUCACUAUAUCCUUCAAUUACCGCUGGAUAUUUAUUAUAAUGUAAAACAUAGUCUUGAGUAUAUUUAAGAUACCCCAAAACUCUUUUCAUUGUCAUCCAAUGAGUUUUAUUGGGAUUACUCGUGUAUGGACUUAAUUACUAAUAGCACAUGCUAUGUCUGGCCGUGUACAAUUUGUAAUAUACAUUAAACAUCCCAACACUCUUGCGUAAUUCAACUAUGAGUCACUUUCACUUUUAUUCUUUUGAAGUGCAAAGCUCAUAUCCAAUGAAGUCUUGGCAAUACCAAAUUCCAAAUACUUAAACUUGCCAAGCACCUUUUCGAUGUAAUGAGACUGUGACAACGCCAAUCUUUGUGGAGUUUUGUGGAUUCUUAUUUCUAAGAUCACAUCCACAACUCCAAGAUCUUUCACAUAAAACUUUCUCUCAAGCAUUCAUUUUGUAGCAUUUAUAUAAAAGAUAUCUCUACUGAUUAUCAACGUAUCAUCCACAUACAAUAUCUCUAGUGACCUUGUGAUUUUGAGUGUCUUUAAUGUAAGCACAUUUAUCAUUUUCAUUUAUCUUGAACCCGUUUACCGACAUAGUUUGGUCAAGCUUUGCAUGCUACUGUUUAGGUACUUAUUUUAUUUCAUAAAGUGACUUAACUAGUUUGCACACCUUAUUUUCUUUACUAGGAACCACAAAACCCUCAGAUUUUUCUAUAUAAAUUUCUUCCUCCAAUUCUCCAUUAGGAUUGCUGUUUUCACAUCCGUUUGAUAAAUUUCAAGAUCAUAUAUCGCCGUCAAGGCAAUUAACAUUUGAAUUGACAAUAUCCUUAUUAUAGGCAAAUAUGUAUCAAAGUAAUCAAGGCCUUCCUUCUAUUUAAAGUCUUUCACUAUAAGUCUUGCCUUGUAUUUUUUAAUAGUACCAUCUGCUUUUAUUUUCCUUUUGAAGAUAUAUUUAGAACCUAAAGGUUUAUUACCUGGAGGAAGAUUUACCAACUCCUAAGUAUGGUUGCUCAUUCAAUCUCACUAUUGACUGCCCCUUUCCAAAGGGAUAAGUCGGAAGAUGACAUCGCUUCUUUAAAUGUUUGAGGCUCAUUUUCUAAGAGAAAUAUUACAAAAUUCGAUCCAAACGAAGUUGAUGGUCUUUUACAUGUAGUACAUCUUGGAUUCUCAUCAUUAUAUACAUUCUCUCUUAGUUCAUCUCGAGGUAGUUCAGACCCUCUACUAGACUGUUUAUGUCUAGUUUUAAAUAGCUAAAUGUAUUCAAAGAACUUAGCAUUAUCUGAUUCAGUUAUCGUAUUUUCAUGGAUAUUCGAAUGCUCAGAUUUAUGAACCAAAUACCGACAUGCUUUACUACUUUUAUCAGAUCCUGUGAACAUGUAGUCCACUGUCUUAGGUCCUAUCUUUACCCGUUUAGGCAUAGGAACUUGGACUUUCGCUAGACACCCCCAUAUUUUGAAAUAUUUCAAGUUGGGUUUCCUUUCUUUCCAUUUUUCAUAUGAAAUUGAUAGUGUCUUACAAUGGGGCACUCAGAUACAAAACGAUCUACGUAACACAUAAAAAUGGUACAAAACAGUCUACUCAACAAGGUACAAACCGAGGAGCAAAUGAGAUCUUGUCUCUACCAACAAACACUACACAAGAAUGACGAGUUAACAAGGUGUUUCAACACCAAAAAAACCACAAUACAUGAUGAACAAGAUGAAUAAGAGUUACAAAAAUACAACAACCAACGGUUUUCACUAAACAAGAUAAACUAGUACAUGAAAUGUAAAGAUAGGUAGUGUGACACAGAUUAUUACAAUGACUAAGAACUAAGGUGUGUAACAAAAACCAAAACCCUUAAUAAAUGUUAUAAAAACACCUACACUCUUACAGAGACCUCAAGGGAACCGGAAUCCCUAAGCAACCACCCUUUUCUAAGCUAGUUACCAACAUAAGUGAUGUCCACACUUGUCACAAGUGAAAUCCACACUUGCAAGACUCUCUCAAGAGCACUCAAAAUAUCCAUCAAAGUUAUGGACAAAUGAACUAAAACGUUUUACUUAUAGUCUAGGUUAAACUUAUUACACAAAAUGACAAAAAGGCCCUUAAUGAGCCCAUCAUAAGGGGUAACCUUGUAGUGUGCCAAUGGGAUGGAUUUGGAGUGUUAGAAGGCCUCCUUCACACUUCAAAACUUAUUCUCUUAGUUGGUAAUCCCCCCAAGAUCGAGUAUUUAUGUAUUGACUUUCAAUCAUGUCCUUGAAAGCUAAGGUGCCUCUUUGACCCGUAUCAUCCUCCCUUCCUGAAAAGGAUUCGACCUCGAAUCUGAACCUUGCAAAAUAAUAGGGGAAACAAGAAAACACUCUUUACUCAUGGCAUGUGGGUUAAGGUUAUCAUAAUCAACUAUAACAUCAAACCAAGGUGGCAUACACUUCACAUGCCAAAAGGUUUUUGGAAGUAGGAUACCCUUCCAAUCAUAAAAACUCAAACUCUCUUCCAAAGAGGUAACAACUUGUCUAUCCGCAUACGUAUGACAAAAAACAAGAGACAAGAUUUGUUUGUCUAGUAUAAUCCAUAGACUUUUCAUGGAACUAAAAAUAGGCUUAUAAACCAAAAUAGAAAGAUCAUACAUUUUAUGCACAUUCAAUUCAUCAUCAUAAGCAAAAAGAUAGUAAAGAAAAGAGUUAAGGGCACCAUUCUCAUCAAAAUUACCCUCAAACAUGAGUUCAUAAUAAGACGAUACAAGACAUUUGAAGCAUAUUACAUCUUUUCUCUUCAAAAAACUUCCCUCAAGAAGUGUAUUCACCAAAGAAAUCAUGCUAUUAGAGGAAUUAGAGAAUCUAUGAGAAACCAAAUUACUCCAAGCCAAAGUGUAUACCCAAGAAGUUGGGUGACUUCUUUUUAUGGAACUUAGCAUGCUCCUAAGAGUCUGUAAUACACCGAUCAUUCCUUAAGUCUAAAUCUAUCUUUUUGAAUGGAUAUGUAUGACUUACAAAGUGAGUGAUCUUUAAACCAUGUUGUAUUUCUCUAAUUUCCACCUUUUGUCAUGUAGAUCAUUGAAUAAGAUUUCCAUCUAUACCAAUUUCAUCAAAAUUCAACAUCGGAUGAGUGAGUUCUGGCCGUUUUAUUGAAUGCUAUCGAAUAGCCUAGGUUUGACGGUCAACCUGGUGGACUGUCAGGUCCUUGGUGGACCGUAAAGUGUCCCAUCAAGCCAAGGAAGUAGCUCCCUUUUUGGGAUGCUGUGUGAUGGUCAAAGUGGUGGACCGUCACAAAGUUGACGGACCAUCAAGGUGUCCGUCAGACCGAGACAGAAUGUCUCAUUUUUGGCCCUCAAGUGAAGGACGGCUUGGUGGACCUUCACUUUUCUAAUGGACCAUCAAUUCAAUCGUCACAUCAAGGUAGAACGUUCCAGUUUUGGUGUUCGUUGGAUCGUCGGUCCCUCUGAUGGACUGUCAAGUCGACCGUAACAGGCCCCGAUCAGCAAAUUUCAACUUUUUUUCAAAGGGGCAUCAUGGUCAUUUCCACUCCUUGUGGCCUUAUAUAUAUAUAUAUAUAUGUGUGUGUGUGUGUAGAGAAGAGAAGACCAUUUCUCUCCAAAUUUCUUUCAAGAAUUCUCUAGAAACGUUAGGUUUCUUCCAAACCCAAAAAUCAAAUCAUCUCUAAGAAAUUCAAGAAAUCUCCUCUAAAUUUCUUCAAGUUGUUCAAGAACUAAGCUCCUCAAGUCAAAGGCAGUAAGUUCUUGGUCUAAAAGUGUGAGAAAGAAGUUUCAAGCAAGUUUCUAUAUCUUCAAAAUCAAAAUCUAAGGUAUGUGGGGUUUCAACAAGAACACUCCUUUCGUUCUUAUGCCUAAAGAUUUAUUUUCUAUUAUUGAUUUACAUGAUUUUGCAAGUGGGUUUACACCCAAAUUUAUUUAUGUAUGAUUUAUGAGAUUUGAGUCGAAUAAGCUUGAUAUUUAUGGUUAUUUCACCAUCAUGCUUCUUAAAUUGAGUAUUUACUCCAUCAAUUGUAUAUUGUCAUUAUAUAUAUUGAUGAUUUCUAAGCGAUUUAUGAUAAGUGUCAAGAUUUGUGUUUUUCUAUGAGAGAUUUAACUAUUGAAUACAUAUCGAUAUUUGAGAUUGAAAGUGGAGAAUGAGUCCUAUGAUGUUUCUUUGAAGAUUUUGAUAUUUGAAAUGAUUUGAUAAGUAAAGGUACAUGAUGUUGAGAAAGAUUAUUUUGAUUUUGAGUCGAGUUAGGAAUCCACAGUCGUAUAUGAUUUACCGGUGAGAUAUACUGUUGUUUUGGUCAUCAUGAUAUACCCAUGAGUUGAUAUUUAUUGAGUUGGAUUUCCUAACACGUCCUAAGCUGAGUCUGGGAGGAGUAUUUAGCACCGAGCGGGAGAUUUGGUAUUUCUCCAGAACUACGUGCCAUCGUAGGAUUGAUGUUGAUAAUUGUGGGCCAAAGGCCGAGUACGAGAUUGUGAUGAUGAGAUUGAGGUUGUACUCCCUAGCACGAGUACGACACCCCUGCCAAUAUGGGGUUCUCUUCUUAGGAGGGCAAAACGUUGGACUCUAUGCGGCUCAUAUGGAGUAGUUAUGUCGGUUAUAAGAAACUCCCACGUCCAUAAUGAUCUAAGUACCAUGAGAUACCGAGUCACUCUAAGUCAUGAUUCAAAGAGUUUGAGUUGAGUUAAAUGAUUUAUGAGAUUUAUGAAGCAUAUGUUAUUACUGAUGACUUACUAAAAUGAUGUUUUAGAUAAUUCAAGCGAAGAGAGUUAUUAUUGUCAGCAUGCAUGAUUU